GACGAACGCUGGCGGCGUGCUUAACACAUGCAGGUCGAACGCUGAAGCUUGGUGCUUGCACUGGGUGGAUGAGUGGCGAACGGGUGAGUAAUACGUGAGUAACCUGCCCUUGACUCUGGGAUAAGCCUGGGAAACUGGGUCUAAUACUGGAUAUGACAUGCCACUGCAUGGUGGUGUGUGGAAAGGGUUUUACUGGUUUUGGAUGGGCUCACGGCCUAUCAGCUUGUUGGUGGGGUAAUGGCCUACCAAGGCGACGACGGGUAGCCGGCCUGAGAGGGUGACCGGCCACACUGGGACUGAGACACGGCCCAGACUCCUACGGGAGGCAGCAGUGGGGAAUAUUGCACAAUGGGCGGAAGCCUGAUGCAGCGACGCCGCGUGAGGGAUGACGGCCUUCGGGUUGUAAACCUCUUUCAGCACGGAAGAAGCGAGAGUGACGGUACGUGCAGAAGAAGCGCCGGCUAACUACGUG
This 472-nucleotide ribosomal RNA is filed under the name uncultured bacterium. Its description in RNAcentral is "partial 16S ribosomal RNA". It matches the Rfam family "Bacterial small subunit ribosomal RNA", at positions 28 to 507 of the family's 1533-position model. The record is from RNAcentral.